Molecule: ribosomal RNA, 488 nt
Filed under: uncultured bacterium
Lineage: Bacteria
Description: bacterial SSU rRNA
Rfam family: Bacterial small subunit ribosomal RNA
Source: RNAcentral
AACGCUGCGGCAGGCCUAACACAUGCAAGUCGAACGGUAACAGGAAGCAGCUUGCUGCUUCGCUGACGAGUGGCGGACGGGUGGAGUAAUGUCUGGGAAACUGCCUGAUGAGGGGGAGUAACUACUGGAAACGGUAAGCUAAUACCGCAUAACGUCGCAAGACCAAAGAGGGGGACCGUUAGGGCCUCUUGCCAUCGGAUGUGCCCAGAUGGGAUUAGCUAGUAGGUGGGGUAACGGCUCACCUAGGCGACGAUCCCUAGCUGGUCUGAGAGGAUGACCAGCCACACUGGAACUGAGACACGGUCCAGACUCCUACGGGAGGCAGCAGUGGGGAAUAUUGCACAAUGGGCGCAAGCCUGAUGCAGCCAUGCCGCGUGUAUGAAGAAGGCCUUCGGGUUGUAAAGUACUUUCAGCGGGGAGGAAGGGAGUAAAGUUAAUACCUUUGCUCAUUGACGUUACCCGCAGAAGAAGCACCGGCUAACUCCGUG